Molecule: ribosomal RNA, 497 nt
Filed under: uncultured bacterium
Lineage: Bacteria
Description: partial 16S ribosomal RNA
Rfam family: Bacterial small subunit ribosomal RNA
Source: RNAcentral
GACGAACGCUGGCGGCGUGCCUAAUACAUGCAAGUUGAGCGCUGAAGGUUGGUACUUGUACCAACUGGAUGAGCAGCGAACGGGUGAGUAACGCGUGGGGAAUCUGCCUUUGAGCGGGGGACAACAUUUGGAAACGAAUGCUAAUACUGCAUAAAAACUUUAAACACAAGUUUUAAGUUUGAAAGAUGCAAUUGCAUCACUCAAAGAUGAUCCCGCGUUGUAUUAGCUAGUUGGUGAGGUAAAGGCUCACCAAGGCGAUGAUACAUAGCCGACCUGAGAGGGUGAUCGGCCACAUUGGGACUGAGACACGGCCCAAACUCCUACGGGAGGCAGCAGUAGGGAAGCUUCGGCAAUGGACGAAAGUCUGACCGAGCAACGCCGCGUGAGUGAAGAAGGUUUUCGGAUCGUAAAACUCUGUUGGUAGAGAAGAACGUUGGUGAGAGUGGAAAGCUCAUCAAGUGACGGUAACUACCCAGAAAGGGACGGCUAACUACGUG